RNAcentral lists this ribosomal RNA (160 nucleotides) under uncultured bacterium. RNAcentral describes it as "partial 16S ribosomal RNA". It matches the Rfam family "Bacterial small subunit ribosomal RNA", at positions 355 to 507 of the family's 1533-position model. The record is from RNAcentral.
UGGGGAAUUUUGGACAAUGGGCGCAAGCCUGAUCCAGCCAUGCCGCGUGAGUGAAGAAGGCCUUCGGGUUGUAAAGCUCUUUCGGCCGGGAAGAAAUCGCAUGGGUUAAUACCCUGUGUGGAUGACGGUACCGGAAUAAGAAGCACCGGCUAACUACGUG